GUCUUGAACAGCAUGUAGUCAGUCUCACUUUGCAGUGAGACAUCUGAAGACUAAGAUGCCCAAAGUUGUGGUGUUUUACACAGUAUCGCUCCCAAUGCAACUAGGAGGCGUUUCCUAAAGUGUCAGGGGAAGGUAGCUCUCCAAGGUUGUGCCCUGGUACCUGAGACAGUGACAGCGUGGAUUCCCUACCACUGGAGGUGUAAAGAAGCAUGGAUAGCUUCUAAUCAGGAACUGGAGAUGAUACUGCGUGAGCUUUAAAGUGUCAGCAUACUCUUCAUGACUCCUUUUCCUUCAGUCUGAUGUGACCAAUUUGGAGCAAUUACAAUUGCUUUGAAAUUCUAUAUGAGGC
Molecule: long non-coding RNA, 349 nt
Filed under: Phasianus colchicus (ring-necked pheasant)
Lineage: Eukaryota; Metazoa; Chordata; Aves; Galliformes; Phasianidae
Description: lncRNA (ENSPCLG00000008527.1)
Source: RNAcentral